AACGAACGCUGGCGGCAUGCCUAACACAUGCAACUCGAACGCUUCUCUUCGGAGAGGAGUGGCGCACGGGUGAGUAACGCGUGGGAACCUGCCCCGGAGUGGGGGAUAACCCGGCGAAAGCCGGGCUAAUAUCGCAUACGGCCUAUGGGCGAAAGAUUUAUCGCUCUGGGAGGGGCCCGCGUCCGAUUAGCUAGUUGGUGGGGUAACGGCCCACCAAGGCGACGAUCGGUAGCUGGUCUGAGAGGAUGAUCAGCCACACUGGGACUGAGACACGGCCCAGACUCCUACGGGAGGCAGCAGUGGGGAAUAUUGGACAAUGGGGGCAACCCUGAUCCAGCAAUGCCGCGUGAGUGAUGAAGGCCUUAGGGUUGUAAAGCUCUUUCGCACGCGACGAUGAUGACGGUAGCGUGAGAAGAAGCCCCGGCUAACUUCGUGCCAGCCGCCGCGGUAA
RNAcentral lists this ribosomal RNA (451 nucleotides) under uncultured bacterium. RNAcentral's name for it is "partial 16S ribosomal RNA". It matches the Rfam family "Bacterial small subunit ribosomal RNA", at positions 29 to 523 of the family's 1533-position model. The record is from RNAcentral.